Molecule: long non-coding RNA, 575 nt
Filed under: Medicago truncatula (barrel medic)
Lineage: Eukaryota; Viridiplantae; Streptophyta; Magnoliopsida; Fabales; Fabaceae
Description: long non-coding RNA (MTRU_LNC006029)
Source: RNAcentral
AAAGAAAUCGCACUUAAUGUAGAAAUAGAACAACAAAAUAUUAAUGAUGUCAAUAAUAAACCACCAAAGAAAAGACAUGUAGCUGACGACAAGAAAUUAAAAUCACGGUCAAUGAAUAGCAUCAAGUCACAAUGAAACUCAAUCAAGUCCCAGUGAGGCUGCGUCAAGCUGUUACAGAUAAGAAAUCAAAAUAAGAACGCAGAACAAAUAAAAUAUUUGGCAGAAAAUAUAAUCAAUAGAUGCAAAAAUGUGGAAUCAGAUCCAAUGUAAACAUGUGUGUCGGUAAACCCAGGGGAACGUUUUGUCUACAUUCGAGUGGAAGGAACAAAGUGUGAAUUGAUGAUUUGAUGAUGGAAUCGGUAAUAGUUUGAAUUAGGGAUAGCGGCAGAUAAGAGCGGCCAAUGGAAGGAACAAAGUGUGAAUUGAUGAUUUGAUGGUGGAAUCGGUAAUAGUUUGAAUUAGGGAUAGCGGCAGAUAAGAGCGGUCAAUGGAAGAAACAAAGUGGGUAGCAGCGGCCAGUGGCUAGGGUUCCUGUCCAGACCCUGUCAACUAACAUAUAUAUAGCAUUGUGCAAC